AGUGAACGCUGGCGGCGUGCUUAACACAUGCAAGUCGAACGAGAACGGAUUAUAGCUUGCUAUAAUUGUCAGCUAAGUGGCGCACGGGUGAGUAAUGUAUAGGUAAUAUGCCUCUUACUAAGGGAUAACAAAUGGAAACGUUUGCUAAUACCUUAUACUCCUUGUUAACUUAAGUUAAUAAGGGAAAGAUUUAUUGGUAAGAGAUUAGCCUGUAUUGUAUCAGUUAGUUGGUGGGGUAAUGGCUUACCAAGACUAUGACACAUAACUGGUUUGAGAGGAUGAUCAGUCACACUGGAACUGAGACACGGUCCAGACUCCUACGGGAGGCAGCAGUGGGGAAUAUUGCACAAUGGACGGAAGUCUGAUGCAGCAACGCCGCGUGGAGGAUGACACAUUUCGGUGCGUAAACUCCUUUUAUAUGAGAAGAUAAUGACGGUAUUAUAUGAAUAAGCACCGGCUAACUCCGUGCCAGCCGCCGCGGUAA
This 484-nucleotide ribosomal RNA is filed under the name uncultured bacterium. RNAcentral describes it as "partial 16S ribosomal RNA". It matches the Rfam family "Bacterial small subunit ribosomal RNA", at positions 29 to 523 of the family's 1533-position model. The record is from RNAcentral.